GGGACCGAGGGGAGAAUAGGGGAGAGCGAGGGACGACGGGGAGGCGGCGCCACCCUCAGCCGAGCAGAGAGGGAGAGAGAGAGAGAGGCUGAAUGUUGUGUGUGUGUUUGGUGUUUGUGUGUGUGGUGAUAUUUUGUAUGUAUGGAGAAUUAGGGUUAGGCAAUGGGCUCAAGCCCUUUCUUUUGCUUGGGCUGAUUUUUUUUUUUUUUAAGAGACGAUAGGCCUAUUUUGUUUAAUAAAUGGUGAUGGGCCUGAUUUAAAUAAAUGAGCUCAUUUUUUUUAAUUGCUUGGGCCCGUAUUUUAAUUAUAAGGCUGCGAAUUUUUGGCCUUAUUUUCUUAAAAUAGUUUGAAUUUUCAUUAAAUUAUUUAGUGGUUUUAAAUCUCUUGUUACAUUUUAAAUAUUGGAUGUUGGGAAUAUUUUU
RNAcentral lists this long non-coding RNA (422 nucleotides) under Salvia miltiorrhiza (redroot sage). RNAcentral describes it as "long non-coding RNA (SMIL_LNC012672)". The record is from RNAcentral. Lineage: Eukaryota; Viridiplantae; Streptophyta; Magnoliopsida; Lamiales; Lamiaceae.